This 71-nucleotide transfer RNA is filed under the name Flavilitoribacter nigricans. It matches the Rfam family "tRNA". From Rfam's summary of the family: Transfer RNA (tRNA) molecules are approximately 80 nucleotides in length. The record is from RNAcentral. Lineage: Bacteria; Pseudomonadati; Bacteroidota; Saprospiria; Saprospirales; Lewinellaceae. RNAcentral also lists the same sequence under 1 other name.
GUGGGUACCCAAUUGGUGUGGUAAGCGGUCUCCAAAACCGUGACCUGUAGGUUCGAAUCCUGCUACCCGCG